GAGCUUGCUCCUCUGACGUUAGCGGCGGACGGGUGAGUAACACGUGGAUAACCUACCUAUAAGACUGGGAUAACUUCGGGAAACCGGAGCUAAUACCGGAUAAUAUAUUGAACCGCAUGGUUCAAUAGUGAAAGACGGUUUUGCUGUCACUUAUAGAUGGAUCCGCGCCGCAUUAGCUAGUUGGUAAGGUAACGGCUUACCAAGGCAACGAUGCGUAGCCGACCUGAGAGGGUGAUCGGCCACACUGGAACUGAGACACGGUCCAGACUCCUACGGGAGGCAGCAGUAGGGAAUCUUCCGCAAUGGGCGAAAGCCUGACGGAGCAACGCCGCGUGAGUGAUGAAGGUCUUCGGAUCGUAAAACUCUGUUAUUAGGGAAGAACAAAUGUGUAAGUAACUAUGCACGUCUUGACGGUACCUAAUCAGAAAGCCACGGCUAACUACGUGCCAGCAGCCGCGGUAAUACGUAGGUGGCAAGCGUUAUCCGGAAUUAUUGGGCGUAAAGCGCGCGUAGGCGGUUUUUUAAGUCUGAUGUGAAAGCCCACGGCUCAACCGUGGAGGGUCAUUGGAAACUGGAAAACUUGAGUGCAGAAGAGGAAAGUGGAAUUCCAUGUGUAGCGGUGAAAUGCGCAGAGAUAUGGAGGAACACCAGUGGCGAAGGCGACUUUCUGGUCUGUAACUGACGCUGAUGUGCGAAAGCGUGGGGAUCAAACAGGAUUAGAUACCCUGGUAGUCCACGCCGUAAACGAUGAGUGCUAAGUGUUAGGGGGUUUCCGCCCCUUAGUGCUGCAGCUAACGCAUUAAGCACUCCGCCUGGGGAGUACGACCGCAAGGUUGAAACUCAAAGGAAUUGACGGGGACCC
Molecule: ribosomal RNA, 862 nt
Filed under: Staphylococcus epidermidis
Lineage: Bacteria; Bacillati; Bacillota; Bacilli; Caryophanales; Staphylococcaceae
Description: bacterial SSU rRNA
Rfam family: Bacterial small subunit ribosomal RNA
Source: RNAcentral